Molecule: long non-coding RNA, 423 nt
Organism: Saccostrea cuccullata (small rock oyster)
Lineage: Eukaryota; Metazoa; Mollusca; Bivalvia; Ostreida; Ostreidae
Exons: 4
Source: RefSeq, a predicted model, not a curated record
AGAACAUCCGGUUUGAAUACAUGUGUUUUCUGACUUUUCGGAUAGCCAACUCUUGUUUUUUGGAACUUACGACUUGUGGCAAGAGAGGAGAAAACUGUGUGACUUUAAAAGAAAACCAGUGAGAUAAAAUCAUAGAAAAUGUAUGAUGAUUCAGGAUGUGGUCAUUUGUGACAUUAAAACAGGAAUUGUCAUCACCAAUAGACAAAUUUCACAUUCCUAAGAGUUUUCUCCAAUUGUCGGCGUAUCGCUCAUUUUUCCCACUUUGUCCUUUGUCCUGUUCUGUGGAUGCCCUAAGACAGUGUCUACCCAUCACGCCAUCUGAUAAUGACUUGUUCUGAGCAUAUAUUUCUCUCCCAAACUUAAACUACAGAGAGCCUGUGGAUAGAGGAUGAAGAGUGACCUUCGACUAAUUUUCUAGGUCAA